CCAGUAUAUUGAUUGUCCUCUACAUCUUUAAUGGAUGAUAUCAGUUUUUUUGUGUAACUAGUUUUAGUGCUAGCAUGGAAUAAAUCUGCUUUUUGUAUGCCAAUAGUAUUCCUCGUCUCUAUAAGCUUUACUUAGUUCAUCCUGUAGUCGAGGAAUGUGCCUUCGAAGGGAUCUAUUUGUGCUUUCCAUAGCUCUGUUAAGCUCCUUCUGGUUUAUGAUCCGAGCCAUUGAAUUCAAGGAACUUAGCUUCUGCAUUGGGAAAGAGUGAUGCCCAUUCAGAGUUGAUCAUUACCCUAUCCAAACAACAUUUAUUGUGUAAGUGCGUCUCUCUCCAACCCAGGAAAACCUAUCACAUUUUGAUUUUAAAUCUGUUAAAUCACAACUAGCUAUCAUAUGAUUAAAUCUUCUGAAAGUUCAUGCUUUUCUUGAAAGGCCACCAACCUUCUCUAAGUUACUUGUAAUUUCAUUGAAAUCACCUGCAAUCAUCCAUGGACCGAUACGAGUAGACCCUAAUUGUUCUAGAUAAUCCCAAAAGAAAUGUCGUAGACUUGGGUUUGGGUUGCCAUAAGUUAUGCUUAUUUUGUUUGUUGGAUUCAACUACACUAUACUUCUUCUUCUGCUUUCUCUCUCUCUCUCUCUCUCUCGGCUUCGUCUCUUCUUGGUGAGACUGAGAGGUGAGAAGAUUGUUCUCUUCUGAUGUUUCCUCUUCCAUUUGGUGCCUUUUGAGUCAGUAGAACCAAAAAUUCAUCAAACUGUGUUAUAAAUUAUUGAAAUUUGUUUUCUUUGCUGUCUUUCUUGUACAUUAGUGAGCAUUGUCUCAUCUCUUCCUUUGGGGCUUUUGUAGAGACUUCACUUCAUGACCUUUUGCGAAUCAUGCUUUGCUUUGGUUGGCUGUUUUACUCGUCCUUUUUGCAAUGGUAUGAUUAAUGUCUUUGUCUUCUUGUUUCAAGGUUCCAUUUUUCAGACUCUGUCUUUGGCUUUCAACUCUGUAGCAGCUUUCAUUUACAGAUCUAAACCCUAUCAGUCGUGUGCUAUGGUUUAUCUCUCACUUCCCUUUUCCAGAUUCCAACCAAUUUCAUACGUACAGAGAGAUGAGUACUGGCGACAAGCGGUUCAAUGGCGGAGACGAUUUCCCGCAGGAAGAAAAGGAGAAAUGUUGGGAGAACGCAAAAGGUUGUCCCUGGAAUGAACAAAGAUAGAUGGCGCCAGGAUGUAAGCACAAGGGUUGAAGCCGGAUACAUUUACGCAACAAGAGAUAUGGAGCUUGUUGAAUCAGGUCUCUACAAUGACAUGUAGUUUGAAUAGGCUUUUCUGUGGUUAGGCUUAGAUUCAAUGAGGUUUAGUCUUAGAUGUAUCUUGUAGACAAACCCCUAGGUUGUUUUUCUGUGGUUAGGCUUAGAUUCAAUACUAGAUUGAUCAUGUUCCAGGCUUAUAUAUAUGACACAGUUUCUUUUUACAUAUGAGUUGUUUCUAGAUUGAUUUAUG
Non-coding RNA from Camelina sativa (false flax), 1485 nucleotides. Lineage: Eukaryota; Viridiplantae; Streptophyta; Magnoliopsida; Brassicales; Brassicaceae. The record is from RefSeq and is a predicted model, not a curated record.